UUAGGUAAUGUAACGGUUAGUUAGUUGUUUGUGUGUGGUUAGGGUUAGGUAAGGGUUAGUUAGUUGUGUGUGUAUGGUUAGGGUUAGUUAGGUGUGUGUGUGUGGUUAGGGUUAUGUAAGGGUUAGUUGUGUGUGUGUGGUUAGGGUUAGUUAGGUGUGUGUGUGUGUGGUUAGGGUUAGGUAAGGGUUAGUUAGUUGUGUGUGUGUGUGGUUAGGGUAAGGGUUAGUUAGUUAUGUGUGUGGUUAGGUUAGGUAAGGGUUAGUUAGUUGUGUGUGUGUGUGUGGUUAGGGUUAGGUAAGAUUUAGUUGUGUGUGUGUGGUUAGGGUUAAUUAGGUGUGUGUGUGUGUGUGUGUGUGUGGUUAGGGUUAGGUAAGGGUUAGUUAGGUGUGUGUGUGUGGUUAGGGUUAGUUAGGUGUGUGUGUUUAGGGUUAGAUAGGUGUGUGUGUGUGUGUUUAGGGUUAGUUAGGUGUGUGUGUGUGUUUAGGGUUAUUUAGGUGUGUGUGUGUGUGUGUGUGUGUUUAGGGUUAGUUAGGUGUGUGUGUGUGUGUGUGUGUGUGUUUAGGGUUAGUUAGGUGUGUGUGUGUGGUUAGGGUUAGGUAAGGGUUAGUUAGUUGUGUGUGUGUGGUUAGGGUAAGGGUUAGUUAGUUGUGUGUGUGUGGUUAGGGUAAGGGUUAGUUAGUUGUGUGUGUGUGUG
Myxocyprinus asiaticus (Chinese sucker) is the source of this 695-nucleotide long non-coding RNA. RefSeq lists it as uncharacterized. The record is from RefSeq and is a predicted model, not a curated record. The transcript has 3 exons. Lineage: Eukaryota; Metazoa; Chordata; Actinopteri; Cypriniformes; Catostomidae.